This 824-nucleotide ribosomal RNA is filed under the name Ramularia tricherae. RNAcentral describes it as "eukaryotic LSU rRNA". It matches the Rfam family "Eukaryotic large subunit ribosomal RNA", at positions 54 to 909 of the family's 3401-position model. Lineage: Eukaryota; Fungi; Ascomycota; Dothideomycetes; Mycosphaerellales; Mycosphaerellaceae. The record is from RNAcentral.
AGGAAAAGAAACCAACAGGGAUUGCCCUAGUAACGGCGAGUGAAGCGGCAACAGCUCAAAUUUGAAAUCUGGCGCAAGCCCGAGUUGUAAUUUGUAGAGGAUGCUUCUAGGUAGCGACCGGUCUAAGUUCCUUGGAACAGGACGUCAUAGAGGGUGAGAAUCCCGUAUGCGACCGGCCCGCACCUUCUACGUAGCUCCUUCGACGAGUCGAGUUGUUUGGGAAUGCAGCUCUAAAUGGGAGGUAAAUUUCUUCUAAAGCUAAAUACCGGCCAGAGACCGAUAGCGCACAAGUAGAGUGAUCGAAAGAUGAAAAGCACUUUGGAAAGAGAGUUAAAAAGCACGUGAAAUUGUUGAAAGGGAAGCGCUUACAACCAGACUUCUGGGCGGUGUUCCGCCGGUCUUUUGACCGGUCUACUCGCCGUCCCGAGGCCAACAUCAUCUGGGACCGCUGGAUAAGACCUUAGGAAUGUAGCUUCCCUCGGGAAGUGUUAUAGCCUGUGGUGAUGCAGCGCGUCUCGGGUGAGGUCCGCGCUUCGGCAAGGAUGUUGGCGUAAUGGUUGUCAGCGGCCCGUCUUGAAACACGGACCAAGGAGUCUAACAUCUAUGCGAGUGUUCGGGUGUCAAACCCCUACGCGUAAUGAAAGUGAACGGAGGUGGGAAGGGUGACCUGCACCAUCGACCGAUCCUGAUGUCCUCGGAUGGAUUUGAGUAAGAGCAUAGCUGUUGGGACCCGAAAGAUGGUGAACUAUGCCUGAAUAGGGUGAAGCCAGAGGAAACUCUGGUGGAGGCUCGCAGCGGUUCUGACGUGCAAAUCGAUCGUCAAA